GAUGAACGCUGGCGGUAUGCUUUACACAUGCAAGUCGAACGCAAGUUUUUAACUUGAGUGGCGGACGGGUGAGUAACACGUGAGAAUUCGCCUUUAGGCGGGGAAUAACCAUCGGAAACAAUGGCUAAUGCCCCAUAUGCUCGCAAGAGUGAAAGGAGCAAUCCACCCAGAGAGAAGCUCGCGGCUGAUUAGCUAGUUGGUAAGGUAAUGGCUUACCAAGGCGACGAUCAGUAGCUGGUUUGAGAGAACGAUCAGCCACACUGGAACUGAGACACGGUCCAG
This 282-nucleotide ribosomal RNA is filed under the name uncultured bacterium. RNAcentral's name for it is "partial 16S ribosomal RNA". It matches the Rfam family "Bacterial small subunit ribosomal RNA", at positions 28 to 334 of the family's 1533-position model. The record is from RNAcentral.